Non-coding RNA from Pelobates cultripes (western spadefoot toad), 339 nucleotides. NCBI's taxonomy places the organism in Eukaryota, Metazoa, Chordata, Amphibia, Anura, Pelobatidae. The record is from the annotation of a GenBank genome assembly.
GACAACUGGCCCAAGGUGAUGGCUAUGGAUUAUGUACAGUAGGGACUGUCAAUCUAAAUUGGGCAUCGUUGGAAUAUACUUUCUGUGUUCAUUAUCAAUGUAAGGCAGCCCAUGUAAGCGAUCCCUCAUAGCUCCUUUGUGCUCAGUAGCCGAUCUCUUAGUUUCUUGAUCCCGAGGGUAUCCUGUGCGACAGACCCGCCUUUCCGUGCCCUCAUGUUCAGAUUUUGAGGCCUGUUUAGCCGGACAUCAUCUCCUGUGUGGAGAGCUGUUCCCAGGGGUACGACCCAUUUCGGACUGAGGUUCAGGACGGCAGCGAUCAGAUGCGGGACCAGACUCUUG